GAUGAACGCUGGCGGCGUGCCUAAUACAUGCAAGUCGAGCGAACAGACGAGGAGCUUGCUCCUCUGACGUUAGCGGCGGACGGGUGAGUAACACGUGGAUAACCUACCUAUAAGACUGGGAUAACUUCGGGAAACCGGAGCUAAUACCGGAUAAUAUAUUGAACCGCAUGGUUCAAUAGUGAAAGACGGUUUUGCUGUCACUUGUAGAUGGAUCCGCGCCGCAUUAGCUAGUUGGUAAGGUAACGGCUUACCAAGGCAACGAUGCGUAGCCGACCUGAGAGGGGGGUCGGCCACACUGGAACUGAGACAAGGUCCAGACUCCUACGGGAGGCAGCAGUAGGGAAUCUUACGGAAUGGGCGAAAGCCGGACGGAGCAACGCCGCGUGAGUGAUGAAGGUCUUCGGAUCGUAAAACUCUGUUAUUAGGGAAGAACAAAUGUGUAAGUAACUAUGCACGUCUUGACGGUACCUGAUCAGAAAGCCACGGCUAACUACGUG
Molecule: ribosomal RNA, 497 nt
Filed under: uncultured bacterium
Lineage: Bacteria
Description: partial 16S ribosomal RNA
Rfam family: Bacterial small subunit ribosomal RNA
Source: RNAcentral